This 367-nucleotide ribosomal RNA is filed under the name Camponotus sp. MG053. RNAcentral's name for it is "partial 12S ribosomal RNA". Lineage: Eukaryota; Metazoa; Arthropoda; Insecta; Hymenoptera; Formicidae. The record is from RNAcentral.
UUUAAACUAGGAUUAGAUACCCUAUUAUUUUUAUUAAAAAAUUAAAUUUUAAUUUAAAUAUUAAAUGUUAAGCAUUAAAAAUAAAAAAUUUGGCGGUACUUAAUAUUUAGAGGAACUUGUUUGUUAAAUUGAUAAUCCACGAAUGGAGAAACUUAAUUUUAAAAUUUUAUGUAUUGUUGUUGGAAAAUUAUAUUAAUAGAUAAUUAAUUAAGAAAUUUUAUAGAAUUAUAAUUCAAAUCAAAAUGUAGAAUAAUUAAGAAGUUAAUGAGUUACAAUUAAUUAGAUAAUUGGAUUUUAUUGUUAUAUUAAUUUAAUUUAUAAAUGAAAGUGGAUUUAAAAGUAAAUGUAUAAAAAUUUAUAAGUUGAA